CGGUGCAUAUGAUGAUUUUGUUAUCCCUGUCUGAAUUAAGUGUGGACACAAUGGUAUCUGAUCUGCACUG
Takifugu rubripes (torafugu) is the source of this 70-nucleotide small nucleolar RNA. Ensembl annotates it as small nucleolar RNA R38. The record is from Ensembl. NCBI's taxonomy places the organism in Eukaryota, Metazoa, Chordata, Actinopteri, Tetraodontiformes, Tetraodontidae.